AUGGACAACUCUGGCAAAGAAUAAGAUUGGUGUCUAAAAAGAUUUCCAAGAUCUGCUGUUAUAUAUAGACUUUGGAUUUAUCUAAGAUGUGUGCCAAGCAUGAAACAUCAUAUAUCUCCCUUGAAAAAAAUCCUAAAUGCUAUGACAUUAGCCACUUGCUUAUAAUUAAAGUAUGUUGCCAUUUCACCAAGCUUUCAUUUACAGGAGAAAGUGCAAAUUCCAUCUCCCUUGAACUUUAGCUACUUCCAACUUUUUUUCUUUGUUCUUUUCUUUAAAGCUUUGCAACAAAUGCAUCCCCAUAUGCUUAUAUUAGUUAAUCUAGUAUUAAACAUAUUGGCUGUGCAAAAUGUUGGCACCCAUUAAUAAAUGUUUUCAUUUUUUCAUUCUCUCUCUCUUUUUUUAACUUUAGAUUCUUCCUUUGACUACACAAGCAACAGCUGUCUAGCUGCCUGCACAAGACUGGAUCUAAUGCCUCUACUGAAAUCUAGGUCAAAACACUUGGAAUGCAUGAAUAUCAAACAGAGUUUUCAAAACAGCAAAUGAAUACAUCUUUAACUGGUGACAUUUUCCUGUAGCAUAUGGCUGCAAGCUCAGGGGACUGAAUGCUUUUUUGAUGAAUAUGUUCCAUCAAAAUCUAAGGGAUGGCAGUAGGCUUUUGCCACCUUCUGUUUUGCCUUAUGAAAUGAUAAUGCAAACUCAUAGAUAGAUACAAUGAUCACCAGGCUUUUACCUU
This 733-nucleotide long non-coding RNA is filed under the name Marmota monax (woodchuck). Lineage: Eukaryota; Metazoa; Chordata; Mammalia; Rodentia; Sciuridae. The record is from RNAcentral.